CAGCAGCCGCGGUAAUACGGAGGGGGCUAGCGUUGUUCGGAAUUACUGGGCGUAAAGCGCACGUAGGCGGCUUGGUAAGUUAGAGGUGAAAGCCUGGAGCUCAACUCCAGAAUUGCCUUUAAGACUGCCGAGCUAGCAGGUGAGAGAGGUAAGUGGAAUUCAGAGUGUAGAGGUGAAAUUCGUAGAUAUUCGGAAGAACACCAGUGGCGAAGGCGGCUUACUGGCUCAUACUGGACGCUGGGGUGCGAAAGCGUGGGGAGCAAACAGGAUUAGAUACCCCCGUAGUCCCUGUCUCUUAUAC
This 301-nucleotide ribosomal RNA is filed under the name uncultured bacterium. RNAcentral describes it as "partial 16S ribosomal RNA". It matches the Rfam family "Bacterial small subunit ribosomal RNA", at positions 509 to 807 of the family's 1533-position model. The record is from RNAcentral.